UCUCGUGUCGUGCUAACUAUUUUUCUAUCGUCGUUCCAGAGGUGAGUUGAGACCUGCCGCACCUGCCUGGGAUGCCUGGCGUGAGAGGUGAGGUGAGCCGCGGGGCAGGGUGAGCCGGGGACAGCCAGGCACACCCACCCGCCCAUCCUGCACGCUCCUGCCGCCUCCCACUACUCAGAUUUGUAAAGUCCUGAAAAUACCCGAGACUAGUCCAUAAGUGACAAGUGUCAAGACUCUCCACGCGCUGCUGGAUUCUGCAGUUAUGGACGAGGACGAAGGAUCCGCAGGUGUCUCUAGUAAGCAGGUGAGCAGCGCCGUGACUACCUGGCUUUGAAGAAUUAGUGUAAUGACUGUAGUUGAUGAUUCAGAAGAGGUGAGUGAACCAAAAAUAAGAGAGACAGAAGUACAGAAUGGCGUGUGGUGGAGAGUCAUGAGAUGGAAAAAAAGUAAUGAGUGGACUGGUGAGCAACAUACAAAAGUAGAGAUUAAUGAAAGAGACAGAGAUAUUGGUUCGGCGAAAGAGACAAGUGACGUAGAAAUAAAAUGAGAAGAGAUGCAAUUUGGUGUGUGGAGGCGAGCUGUGUCGAGAAAAAGUGGGUGAAUGGAGCCGUGGGUAUGCGUAGAUAAAUAAGUAGAUUCUGAUGGAGCAAGUGAGCGAUAGUAAAGAGAGUAAAUAAGUGUAGCCAUUUAAGAUUGCAUGAAAGAGGAGGAGGAGUCUCCAUGCCGCGGGGGGUUACGUUGAAUGAAAGUGACUGGAAUGGGAAUGGCGUACUGAGAAAAGGAAAACUCGAGUCUUCGAAGAAAACUGACAUGUGCUGUACGGAAAGAUAAAAAAGAAAAAGAAAAAAUUAGCUAUUGGUGACAAAUUAGCAAAUGAGUGAUGUAAGGGGCCCAAAAAAUUCUGGAAGAGGAUAGCGAAUGACAGAUGUGAAAAAGAAGAAGAAAAAAAUUGAUGGAGGAGGAGAAUGACGAAUGAGUGCGUGGUGUGAAGACAGGGUACAUACCAGAAUUAAGACUAGAGUUUGUAUUAUUUUUAAACGCUUCCAUCUCUCAUCAGGACAAUGUUCAAAUGUCACAGGGAUGAUUAACCGAAUCCUCUUAAUGCUCUCUUUUAUCAGUGUACCAGAACUGUCAUCGAAGCAUCAGGAGAAUCAUUAAAGUCCCCUUAAAAAUCCUAAUAUUCAUAACUUUCAUUAAAAUCUGUGAAAAGCUGUGGAGGGCAAUGCAAUGAAGCGCCUAAGA
This is a long non-coding RNA of Scylla paramamosain (green mud crab), 1242 nucleotides long. RefSeq lists it as uncharacterized. The record is from RefSeq and is a predicted model, not a curated record. Lineage: Eukaryota; Metazoa; Arthropoda; Malacostraca; Decapoda; Portunidae. The transcript has 3 exons.